UGGGGAAUUUUGGACAAUGGGGGAAACCCUGAUCCAGCCAUCCCGCGUGUGCGAUGAAGGCCUUCGGGUUGUAAAGCACUUUUGGCAGGAAAGAAACGUCGCGGGUUAAUACCCCGCGAAACUGACGGUACCUGCAGAAUAAGCACCGGCUAACUACGUGCCAGCAGCCGCGGUAAUACGUAGGGUGCAAGCGUUAAUCGGAAUUACUGGGCGUAAAGCGUGCGCAGGCGGUUCGGAAAGAAAGAUGUGAAAUCCCAGAGCUUAACUUUGGAACUGCAUUUUUAACUACCGGGCUAGAGUGUGUCAGAGGGAGGUGGAAUUCCGCGUGUAGCAGUGAAAUGCGUAGAUAUGCGGAGGAACACCGAUGGCGAAGGCAGCCUCCUGGGAUAACACUGACGCUCAUGCACGAAAGCGUGGGGAGCAAACAGGAUUAGAUACCCUGGUAGUCCACGCCCCUAAAACGAUGUCAACUAGCUGUUGGGGCCUUCGGGCCUUGGUAGCGCAGCUAACGCGU
This 514-nucleotide ribosomal RNA is filed under the name uncultured bacterium. RNAcentral's name for it is "partial 16S ribosomal RNA". It matches the Rfam family "Bacterial small subunit ribosomal RNA", at positions 355 to 860 of the family's 1533-position model. The record is from RNAcentral.